RNAcentral lists this ribosomal RNA (109 nucleotides) under Pteropus alecto (black flying fox). Lineage: Eukaryota; Metazoa; Chordata; Mammalia; Chiroptera; Pteropodidae. The record is from RNAcentral.
ACUUAAAAUAAAUUUGUCCUGAUCUUGUCUGAUCUCAGAAGCUAAUCAGGGUUGGGCCUGGUUAGUACUUAGAUGGGAGACCACCUAGGAAGACCAGGCGCUGUAGGUG